AAGGAUCAUUAACGAAUUACAGGGAGUUGAUGCUGGUAGUUUUUGACUGCAUGUGCUCGCUCUCCUAGUCCAAUUUACACUUGUGCACUUAGAUUUGAAGGCAGGAUUAAGCCUGCUUUCGAAAUUCAUAAACUCUCAUUUAAAAUUAUUGAAUGUUUAUCUGCCGUAUGGCGAAAUGAAAUACAACUUUUAACAACGGAUCUCUUGGCUCUC
This 213-nucleotide unclassified non-coding RNA is filed under the name uncultured fungus. RNAcentral describes it as "partial contains 18S rRNA, ITS1, 5.8S rRNA, ITS2 and 28S rRNA". The record is from RNAcentral. Lineage: Eukaryota; Fungi.